This 1372-nucleotide ribosomal RNA is filed under the name uncultured bacterium. Its description in RNAcentral is "bacterial SSU rRNA". It matches the Rfam family "Bacterial small subunit ribosomal RNA", at positions 28 to 1381 of the family's 1533-position model. The record is from RNAcentral.
GAUGAACGCUGGCGGCGUGCCUAAUACAUGCAAGUCGAGCGAACGGACGAGAAGCUUGCUUCUCUGAUGUUAGCGGCGGACGGGUGAGAAACACGUGGAUAACCUACCUAUAAGACUGGGAUAACUUCGGGAAACCGGAGCUAAUACCGGAUAAUAUUUUGAACCGCAUGGUUCAAAAGUGAAAGACGGUCUUGCUGUCACUUAUAGAUGGAUCCGCGCUGCAUUAGCUAGUUGGUAAGGUAACGGCUUACCAAGGCAACGAUGCAUAGCCGACCUGAGAGGGUGAUCGGCCACACUGGAACUGAGACACGGUCCAGACUCCUACGGGAGGCAGCAGUAGGGAAUCUUCCGCAAUGGGCGAAAGCCUGACGGAGCAACGCCGCGUGAGUGAUGAAGGUCUUCGGAUCGUAAAACUCUGUUAUUAGGGAAGAACAUAUGUGUAAGUAACUGUGCACAUCUUGACGGUACCUAAUCAGAAAGCCACGGCUAACUACGUGCCAGCAGCCGCGGUAAUACGUAGGUGGCAAGCGUUAUCCGGAAUUAUUGGGCGUAAAGCGCGCGUAGGCGGUUUUUUAAGUCUGAUGUGAAAGCCCACGGCUCAACCGUGGAGGGUCAUUGGAAACUGGAAAACUUGAGUGCAGAAGAGGAAAGUGGAAUUCCAUGUGUAGCGGUGAAAUGCGCAGAGAUAUGGAGGAACACCAGUGGCGAAGGCGACUUUCUGGUCUGUAACUGACGCUGAUGUGCGAAAGCGUGGGGAUCAAACAGGAUUAGAUACCCUGGUAGUCCACGCCGUAAACGAUGAGUGCUAAGUGUUAGGGGGUUUCCGCCCCUUAGUGCUGCAGCUAACGCAUUAAGCACUCCGCCUGGGGAGUACGACCGCAGGGUUGAAACUCAAAGGAAUUGACGGGGACCCGCACAAGCGGUGGAGCAUGUGGUUUAAUUCGAAGCAACGCGAAGAACCUUACCAAAUCUUGACAUCCUUUGACAACUCUAGAGAUAGAGCCUUCCCCUUCGGGGGACAAAGUGACAGGUGGUGCAUGGUUGUCGUCAGCUCGUGUCGUGAGAUGUUGGGUUAAGUCCCGCAACGAGCGCAACCCUUAAGCUUAGUUGCCAUCAUUAAGUUGGGCACUCUAAGUUGACUGCCGGUGACAAACCGGAGGAAGGUGGGGAUGACGUCAAAUCAUCAUGCCCCUUAUGAUUUGGGCUACACACGUGCUACAAUGGACAAUACAAAGGGCAGCGAAACCGCGAGGUCAAGCAAAUCCCAUAAAGUUGUUCUCAGUUCGGAUUGUAGUCUGCAACUCGACUACAUGAAGCUGGAAUCGCUAGUAAUCGUAGAUCAGCAUGCUACGGUGAAUACGUUCCCGGGUCU